This 374-nucleotide ribosomal RNA is filed under the name uncultured organism. Its description in RNAcentral is "partial 16S ribosomal RNA". It matches the Rfam family "Bacterial small subunit ribosomal RNA", at positions 527 to 896 of the family's 1533-position model. The record is from RNAcentral.
GUAGGUGGCAAGCGUUGUCCGGAAUUAUUGGGCGUAAAGCGCGCGCAGGCGGUUCUUUAAGUCUGAUGUGAAAGCCCACGGCUCAACCGUGGAGGGUCAUUGGAAACUGGAGAACUUGAGUACAGAAGAGGAAAGCGGAAUUCCACGUGUAGCGGUGAAAUGCGUAGAGAUGUGGAGGAACACCAGUGGCGAAGGCGGCUUUCUGGUCUGUAACUGACGCUGAGGCGCGAAAGCGUGGGGAGCGAAACAGGAUUAGAUACCCUGGUAGUCCACGCCGUAAACGAUGAGUGCUAAGUGUUAGGGGGGUUUCCGCCCCCCUUAGUGCUGCAGCUAACGCAUUAAGCACUCCGCCUGGGAGUACGGCCGCAAGGCUG